Phasianus colchicus (ring-necked pheasant) is the source of this 4001-nucleotide non-coding RNA. The record is from RefSeq and is a predicted model, not a curated record. Lineage: Eukaryota; Metazoa; Chordata; Aves; Galliformes; Phasianidae.
UUGAGCUCUUUCACUCCUCCUCCACAAAAUCACUGGCUUCAUAUGCAUUCACUGGCAUUCAUAUGCUUUAUAUCCAUAUGGUGCUCGUUUAAUUGGUGAACGGAGCAAAAAGAUGCGUUCAGGUAUGAGGGUAGGUUAGACUGCUGUUACACUCCAUUCUCCAGAUUGUUUAUUGAAAUAGAGAGGAGCCUUCUGAAGGGCAAGAGCACAUUUUAGCAAGGCUCCCAAAGGAGACUUGCCAUCAAUUCGAUAUGCACAGCUAAGAGGUAUAGAUUUUCAUGGUGCUCCAGCAGCUGAGUUAUCAGAUCUCAAAGGUGCAGCUUGGAGUAGAUUUGACAUUCACCCAGAGCAGCUCACCAUCCAGUCUAGAUAGUGACAGUUAGAAAAACAAAGUGAUUAGUGGAGUACUAUGGAUACACAGGUCAGUAAAAUGGUUAUUAUUAGAACAGUGGAAAAAUGCUGAGUCUUAUGAUUCAGUACAUGUGUUUGUGGACAUUUCUAGGCAAAUGCUGUUGAGUUUUGGACAGAAUGCAUUUUGGAAUUUCUUCACUCUGAUCCCCCCCUUUUCUUUUUUCCUCUUUUCUUGCAGAGCCACAGCAAUCUCUUUUGUCUCUCAGUGCAGGGUGAUUUGUUUUCCUUUUUCCCACAGUGCAGUGUCAUUAUUCUCUUUUCCAGAAGAAGAAGAAUGGAUGACCCAACAAUUAGGACUCAUGGAUAACCCAACAAUUAGGACCUAAUGGAUGACCCAAUGAUUAGGAUCUAGGCAUCUGGCUGGUGAGGGUCUCCCUUGGUAGGAGCUCUCCUCUUUCAGGGGUGUGUGCACUAUGUCACUAAGGAUGUGAUUACAAGGGCUGAUAGCUUUGGCCAGAACUCUGCUCAAGGUCAGGUUUGCCCACCCUUUGACACUGCUUAGAAGGAGCUGUGCCACCAUCCCUGCCAAGCAGAGGAAAGUCAUGAGGCACUGGGGACAAAUAAAGGACAAUGAAUCAGCCAUGCCACAAAGUGAACCUUAUUCUUUAGGAGAGCUGGAUUUUGCCAGUACAAUAGCUAGAUUACACAGCCAUUUCCUCCAAUUACCUUCUCUGUCAAAUCUCUGUGUCAUCUGGCACUAGGAAAGUUUGGUUUCAAAUUCGUUGUGAAUCGGGGCAGUGACACCAGAGAUUUCUAAAUUAAUAUCCUGCCAACAGGAAUUGAGCUUGUUUUUUCCAGUCGUGUCAGUUCUGAUUCUGUUGCUUGUCAGAGAAAACUUUGGCUUGCCAUCUGGUUUCAGGGGCAUGGAUUAAGGAAAUCUUAAGUUGCUCAAUCCAGCACUGUGUGCUUGUCCCAUGUCUUCCUCUCUUUGUUUCUGUUCUCACUGUCAAUGAGUAGGUAUGGGAUGUCUUCCAAGGAGUUAGUGGUAGUUUACCUGCAGUCAAGGGGCAGAUUUGCCCUGGCAGCUUGCUAAAAUCUUCAUGAAGCUCAUCCUUCCCUCCUCCCCUGCUGAAUGACACUUCGGUUGAGGAGAUGUUGUGCACUAUGGUCCCAUGUCAAAGCAGUUCCUUGCCUUGCCUAGCAAAGCAGCUCUGAGUUAACCAAAGGGGUUGUUUUGGCCUGUGAGUAGCAGUGGUGCCUGCCUCCUCUUCCUGCACACAGUUGUGUGGCAAUGCAAGAAGAAUGCUUAAGACCAACAAGGGGGGUUUCAGUGGGGCAUCGAGGCUGCAGGGGCUGAUGUGGUAUUAUUACUGUCAUAGGUGUCCAGAGGAUAUGAAGGUGAUGCUGCAUGUCCUGGAGCUGGCCUGAUGGAGCUGAGAGCAGAUGGAUGGAUGGAGCCAGCACUGCUGAUCCGUGGCAGUGAGGCUGUGCAUUGUACAUGGAACCACUCACGUGAUUCCUGUCGAGCCAAAAUAUUCUUUCAGAAAGAGCAUUGACCAGAUGCCUUAUUAUUAUUGCUCACAAUGCUGUCCUCAGAGUACAACAAUCCAUCACGGAGCUCGGCGCAGUCCUACAGAAAAGUCCCUGACACAUUUUUACAGAAGGGCCAGGUUCUCACCACUUGUGUGCAUUUGUAUCCCUUGACAAAUAGCUGUUUGACUUCAGUUUUGUUCCAAGUCAGUGGUGUCAAGCACAGGGCUCCUAUUCAAGUGCCCACCAAUGGUGAUGCACAACUCCCUGCUUCCUCUUCUUUUCUUGCUUUGUUUCCCUGUGGCAGUCACUGUUUCUUUUUUUUCCCCUUCUCCUCACAUAUCUCAUAGGUUUGCUUUAAAGAUAGUUUUAAAGAAUAUAUUCACAGCAAAAAAGUGCCUUUAAUAAGAACUGUAAAAAUGGCUCAGGACUAGAUAUCAUGGGGAAUUGCUGUUUGCAUAGGUUGCUGAUAUGACACUUGAUUAUUUUCUGCUAAUUUUUCCAACUUGAUUAGCAGACUGGCUAGCGAAGCCUUGGGUGUGUUGAGAAAUACUGUGGUUUGGCUUCUGCUCAAUGUAUGGCUCCUCCUAAAACUGAGAGGUGUGUUCCUAAGUGCUCUGAGCACCUCGGACGUGUGGUAGAAUUAUUACUACCAGGUUAUGAGCAGUGCUGUUUGUCCUUUCAUGUAUCAGCCUUUCAGGCAAGACGUUGACUUUAAAUUCCUUUCUGAGUUAAAUGUAUCCCCAAGGUUGCCUGUAAGGAACAGACUCCAGCUGUGUCAUGUGCUGUGUGAACUUAAAAAACAACGAUGUCCCUCUGUUUCAGGUGUAUUGAGAGUGUAGUGGCUGAGGGAUGUGCAGAAAGUCAAGCUGGGAGUGGAAGCACAGCCCCAAAAUGCAUGUGCACAGCCAGUAAUUUGUGUGCUCGCAGAGCAUUUUCCAUCACAUGAGCCUGAAAUGGAAGAGGAUUUAUGGAAUGGAGAGCAUGAGGCACCAAUUCAGCAAAUACCAGAGUGUGUAUGUAAGUGUUUGCAGGUCUAAAUAUGCAAGUGGUCUUGAUCUUCUUAAGCUGCUUCAUGCUGCUGACUCCAAAGGCUGAUGGGAGAACCUGCACACAGUUUGCACAUCAAGAUUUUUACAAGUUUUGUGUAAUGAGAGCUUUCUCACCAUGUUGAUUGAGCAUCGUCUUCCACUCAUUACUUCUCAGCCUGUUUAAUAGAUUUACUGCUACUGAGCACCCUCAGCGGAUGCUGAAUGUCACAUUGUUGGUGCAGUGGCCUCAUUACUUUCUUAAUAUCUUAAGCUUCCAUUCUUUUAAAUUUUGGCAAGUACAUGAUGGUGUAUCUGACCUAUUAUUGUUCCUUUCUUCUUCUUCUGACCUGUUGAUGCCUCCCAGCCGUGGUUCAUCAUUAUGGAGGCUGUUGGUGGCCCUGCCUAUGCUCUGAUGCUUCCUCUGGAGUUCAGCUUCGAAGUAAAUCUCACAUCACACUGCAAACUUUUUUUCAAGCCAGAGACCUGUCUGUAAUUCGUAGCUCACCAGGGUCUGCAGGCCAGAGGCUGAAAAGUGUUGCAUCAAAGGAGCUGAGUGCUGGAGAUGUGGCUGAGAUGGAAAUGAAGGUCUAAAGUCCCAGAAUGGAAACCACCCAGGCCUCCUUGCUCAACUCCCUUCUGAUGCUGUGAGUACCUCUUUUCAACCUGCUUGAUCCCAGAGUCUUUAGGGUGGCUUACAGUUCUGUCUCUGGAGUUUGUUUAAAGACUGAGGCUGACCAAGAUGGAGAAAUCAAUUGUGUUCAUGUGCCUGUUCAACUCAUCGGCUUUCCCUGUAUAAACUCAUGGGUUGAGAUUUUUUUGUAAAGGCCAGCUGUGGUUCUACCCUUUGGCCAUGGAGCUGCAGGAUACCAUACCCUUACUUUCCCCCUGUAAGAUCUUGUGUUGAAACCUAUGAUAUGAGCAUUGGUUGCAGUACUCCCUGCUCAUCAUCCUAGUACCUGGGAACCUUCCCUCUCCCUGGGCUUUAGAAAGGUGCUGCUUCUUGGCUUGGACAUUCCCUUGGGAGAGUCUAACCCAUCCCAUUCUCCCUACAAGGACUGUCCAAGUUCAAUGCACAGAUUUCCAGCUUGG